RNAcentral lists this ribosomal RNA (459 nucleotides) under uncultured bacterium. RNAcentral's name for it is "partial 16S ribosomal RNA". It matches the Rfam family "Bacterial small subunit ribosomal RNA", at positions 338 to 795 of the family's 1533-position model. The record is from RNAcentral.
CCUACGGGUGGCAGCAGUGAGGAAUAUUGGUCAAUGGGCGCGAGCCUGAACCAGCCAAGUCGCGUGAGGGAAGACGGUCCUAUGGAUUGUAAACCUCUUCUGUCGGGGAGCAAAAGACGCCACGCGUGGCGUUCCGAGAGUACCCGAAGAAAAAGCAUCGGCUAACUCGGUGCCAGCCGCCGCGGUACUACGGAGGAUGCGAGCGUUAUCUGGAUUUAUUGGGUUAAACGGGUGCGCAGGCGGAAGAUCAAGUCAGCGGUAAAAUUGAGAGGCUCAACCUCUUCGAGCCGUUGAAACUGGUUUUCUUGAGUGAGUGAGAAGUAUGCGGAAUGCGUGGUGUAGCGGUGAAAUGCGUAGAGAUCACGCAGAACUCCGAUGGCGAAGGCAGCAUACCGGCGCUCAACUGACGCUCAUGCACGAAAGUGUGGGUAGCGAACAGGAUUAGAUACCCCAGUAGUC